CUGGCUCAGAUUGAACGCUGGCGGCAGGCCUAACACAUGCAAGUCGAGCGGUAGAGAGAAGCUUGCUUCUCUUGAGAGCGGCGGACGGGUGAGUAAUGCCUAGGAAUCUGCCUGGUAGUGGGGGAUAACGUUCGGAAACGGACGCUAAUACCGCAUACGUCCUACGGGAGAAAGCAGGGGACCUUCGGGCCUUGCGCUAUCAGAUGAGCCUAGGUCGGAUUAGCUAGUUGGUGAGGUAAUGGCUCACCAAGGCGACGAUCCGUAACUGGUCUGAGAGGAUGAUCAGUCACACUGGAACUGAGACACGGUCCAGACUCCUACGGGAGGCAGCAGUGGGGAAUAUUGGACAAUGGGCGAAAGCCUGAUCCAGCCAUGCCGCGUGUGUGAAGAAGGUCUUCGGAUUGUAAAGCACUUUAAGUUGGGAGGAAGGGCAGUAAAUUAAUACUUUGCUGUUUUGACGUUACCGACAGAAUAAGCACCGGCUAACUCUGUGCCAGCAGCCGCGGUAAUACAGAGGGUGCAAGCGUUAAUCGGAAUUACUGGGCGUAAAGCGCGCGUAGGUGGUUUGUUAAGUUGGAUGUGAAAUCCCCGGGCUCAACCUGGGAACUGCAUUCAAAACUGACUGACUAGAGUAUGGUAGAGGGUGGUGGAAUUUCCUGUGUAGCGGUGAAAUGCGUAGAUAUAGGAAGGAACACCAGUGGCGAAGGCGACCACCUGGACUAAUACUGACACUGAGGUGCGAAAGCGUGGGGAGCAGACAGGAUUAGAUACCCUGGUAGUCCACGCCGUAAACGAUGUCAACUAGCCGUUGGAAGCCUUGAGCUUUUAGUGGCGCAGCUAACGCAUUAAGUUGACCGCCUGGGGAGUACGGCCGCAAGGUUAAAACUCAAAUGAAUUGACGGGGACCCGCACAAGCGGUGGAGCAUGUGGUUUAAUUCGAAGCAACGCGAAGAACCUUACCAGGCCUUGACAUCCAAUGAACUUUCUAGAGAUAGAUUGGUGCCUUCGGGAACAUUGAGACAGGUGCUGCAUGGCUGUCGUCAGCUCGUGUCGUGAGAUGUUGGGUUAAGUCCCGUAACGAGCGCAACCCUUGUCCUUAGUUACCAGCACGUAAUGGUGGGCACUCUAAGGAGACUGCCGGUGACAAACCGGAGGAAGGUGGGGAUGACGUCAAGUCAUCAUGGCCCUUACGGCCUGGGCUACACACGUGCUACAAUGGUCGGUACAGAGGGUUGCCAAGCCGCGAGGUGGAGCUAAUCCCACAAAACCGAUCGUAGUCCGGAUCGCAGUCUGCAACUCGACUGCGUGAAGUCGGAAUCGCUAGUAAUCGCGAAUCAGAAUGUCGCGGUGAAUACGUUCCCGGGCCUUGCACUCACCGCCCGUCAAG
This 1387-nucleotide ribosomal RNA is filed under the name uncultured bacterium. RNAcentral's name for it is "bacterial SSU rRNA". It matches the Rfam family "Bacterial small subunit ribosomal RNA". The record is from RNAcentral.